Molecule: non-coding RNA, 84 nt
Organism: Penicillium salamii
Lineage: Eukaryota; Fungi; Ascomycota; Eurotiomycetes; Eurotiales; Aspergillaceae
Source: the annotation of a GenBank genome assembly
UGGUGGUAUGGUCUAGGGGUAGGAUACCGCAUUGUGGAGAACUCAAUGCUGCGUUGGCCCCGGUUCGAAUCCGGGUACCGCCAC